UGCAAGUCGAACGAACUCUGGUAUUGAUUGGUGCUUGCAUCAUGAUUUACAUUUGAGUGAGUGGCGAACUGGUGAGUAACACGUGGGAAACCUGCCCAGAAGCGGGGGAUAACACCUGGAAACAGAUGCUAAUACCGCAUAACAACUUGGACCGCAUGGUCCGAGUUUGAAAGAUGGCUUCGGCUAUCACUUUUGGAUGGUCCCGCGGCGUAUUAGCUAGAUGGUGRGGUAACGGCUCACCAUGGCAAUGAUACGUAGCCGACCUGAGAGGGUAAUCGGCCACAUUGGGACUGAGACACGGCCCAAACUCCUACGGGAGGCAGCAGUAGGGAAUCUUCCACAAUGGACGAAAGUCUGAUGGAGCAACGCCGCGUGAGUGAAGAAGGGUUUCGGCUCGUAAAACUCUGUUGUUAAAGAAGAACAUAUCUGAGAGUAACUGUUCAGGUAUUGACGGUAUUUAACCAGAAAGCCACGGCUAACUACGUGCCAGCAGCCGCGGUAAUACGUAGGUGGCAAGCGUUGUCCGGAUUUAUUGGGCGUAAAGCGAGCGCAGGCGGUUUUUUAAGUCUGAUGUGAAAGCCUUCGGCUCAACCGAAGAAGUGCAUCGGAAACUGGGAAACUUGAGUGCAGAAGAGGACAGUGGAACUCCAUGUGUAGCGGUGAAAUGCGUAGAUAUAUGGAAGAACACCAGUGGCGAAGGCGGCUGUCUGGUCUGUAACUGACGCUGAGGCUCGAAAGUAUGGGUAGCAAACAGGAUUAGAUACCCUGGUAGUCCAUACCGUAAACGAUGAAUGCUAAGUGUUGGAGGGUUUCCGCCCUUCAGUGCUGCAGCUAACGCAUUAAGCAUUCCGCCUGGGGAGUACGGCCGCAAGGCUGAAACUCAAAGGAAUUGACGGGGGCCCGCACAAGCGGUGGAGCAUGUGGUUUAAUUCGAAGCUACGCGAAGAACCUUACCAGGUCUUGACAUACUAUGNAAAUCUAAGAGAUUAGACGUUCCCUUCGGGGACAUGGAUACAGGUGGUGCAUGGUUGUCGUCAGCUCGUGUCGUGAGAUGUUGGGUUAAGUCCCGCAACGAGCGCAACCCUUAUUAUCAGUUGCCAGCAUUAAGUUGGGCACUCUGGUGAGACUGCCGGUGACAAACCGGAGGAAGGUGGGGAUGACGUCAAAUCAUCAUGCCCCUUAUGACCUGGGCUACACACGUGCUACAAUGGAUGGUACAACGAGUUGCGAACUCGCGAGAGUAAGCUAAUCUCUUAAAGCCAUUCUCAGUUCGGAUUGUAGGCUGCAACUCGCCUACAUGAAGUCGGAAUCGCUAGUAAUCGCGGAUCAGCAUGCCGCGGUNAAUACGUUCCCGGGCCUUGUACACACCGCCCGUCACACCAUGAGAGUUUGUAACACCCAAAGUCGGUGGGGUAACCUUUUAGNAACCAGCCGCCUAAGGUGGGACAGAUGAUUAG
RNAcentral lists this ribosomal RNA (1457 nucleotides) under Lactobacillus sp. UN47. RNAcentral's name for it is "bacterial SSU rRNA". It matches the Rfam family "Bacterial small subunit ribosomal RNA". Lineage: Bacteria; Bacillati; Bacillota; Bacilli; Lactobacillales; Lactobacillaceae. The record is from RNAcentral.